CUGUAGAGAGAGAGGCUGUGCUGUAGAGAGAGAGGCUGUGCUGUAGAGAGAGAGGCUGUGCUGUAGAGAGAGAGGCUGUGCUGUAGAGAGAGGCUGCGCUGUAGAGAGAGGCUGCGCUGUAGAGAGAGAGGCUGCGCUGUAGAGAGAGGCUGCGCUGUAGAGAGAGGCUGCGCUGUAGAGAGAGGCUGCGCUAGAGAGAGAGGCUGCGCUGUAGAGAGAGAGGCUGCGCUGUAGAGAGAGAGGCUGCGCUGUAGAGAGAGAGGCUGCGCUAUAGAGAGAGAGGCUGCGCCGUAGAGAGAGAGGCUGAGCUGUAGAGAGAGAGGCUGAGCUGUAGAGAGAUAUGAGCACCACAGAGCUCCUCUAUUUACAGGACCACUCUGGCAACACAACAGCGUGUGAAGUGCACUCUUGGAAGAGCUUGCUCCUUGCUGACAUAGUGGAUAAUGCUAGACAAGCAGUGUGGAUGAUUUUAUAAGAAUUUGAGGUGUGUGAGUCAGGCUGUUUAGUGAGUAGACUCAUCGUUGCAGGCUCUCUUGUCUCCCUGUCCAGUGUUGCCCUCUGACAGCCUCCCUUUGCACAGCCACUGUUCCAUACAUAUCAUAGUAUUGAUGUUACUAUCAGCUCAGAAACCUUUGAAACCAGCCCUGUAGAUGAAUGAUGCUCAUCUCACAGAAUGCCGUAUGUUAGAGAUUAUUUUUGUAUGUUCGGUUCUUUAACGUAGAAGAAGCAGAAGAGGGAGAAUAAAAGUGUCUUUUUAUUUUCAUUUUCA
This is a long non-coding RNA of Oncorhynchus tshawytscha (Chinook salmon), 769 nucleotides long. The record is from Ensembl. Lineage: Eukaryota; Metazoa; Chordata; Actinopteri; Salmoniformes; Salmonidae.